GUGUGAAGCUUUUGUAGGUGCAGCUUUUGUGUUGAAGCUUUUGUGGGUGAAGCUUUGGGUUGAAGCUUUGUAGGUGAAGCUUUGGAGUUGAAGCUUUUGUUGGUUACCAUGAAUUGAUUUUGCUUCACAUUAUCUUGAUCAAGAUAGUGUGAAGCUUUUGUUUUGAAGCUUUGUAGGUGAAGCUUUGGAGUUAAAGCUUUGUAGGUGAAGUUUUGGAGUUGAAGCUUUGUAGGUGAAGCUUUGGAGUUGAAGCUUUUGUUGGGUACCAUGAAUUGAUUUUGCUUCACACUAUCUUGAUCAAGAUAGUGUGAAGCUUUUGAGAAUUUGUAGUUGUCCUCCAUUAAUGAAGCUUUUGUUGGUGAAGCUUUUGUGGUGAAGCUUUGUUGGGUACCAUGAAUUGAUUUUGCUUCACACUAUCUUGAUCAAGAUAGUGUGAAUCUUUUGAGAAUUUGUAGUUGUCCUCCAUUGAUGAAGCUUUUUUGAAUUUCCUAAUUUCCCUUUUUUGGGGGGGGGGGAAUUAGAAAUUUGAAAAUGUGGGAGAGACAACAUAUACAAAUUU
RNAcentral lists this long non-coding RNA (559 nucleotides) under Malus domestica (apple). Its description in RNAcentral is "long non-coding RNA (MDOM_LNC002856)". The record is from RNAcentral. Lineage: Eukaryota; Viridiplantae; Streptophyta; Magnoliopsida; Rosales; Rosaceae.